RNAcentral lists this ribosomal RNA (447 nucleotides) under uncultured bacterium. RNAcentral describes it as "bacterial SSU rRNA". It matches the Rfam family "Bacterial small subunit ribosomal RNA", at positions 328 to 792 of the family's 1533-position model. The record is from RNAcentral.
GGGCCAGACUCCUACGGGAGGCAGCAGUGGGGAAUAUUGCACAAUGGGGGAAACCCUGAUGCAGCGACGCCGCGUGAGCGAUGAAGUAUUUCGGUAUGUAAAGCUCUAUCAGCAGGGAAGAAGAUGACGGUACCUGACUAAGAAGCCCCGGCUAACUACGUGCCAGCAGCCGCGGGAAUACGUAGGGGGCAAGCGUUAUCCGGAUUUACUGGGUGUAAAGGGAGCGUAGACGGCGAUGCAAGCCAGAUGUGAAAGCCCGGGGCUCAACCCCGGGACUGCAUUUGGAACUGUGUGGCUGGAGUGUCGGAGAGGCAGGCGGAAUUCCUAGUGUAGCGGUGAAAUGCGUAGAUAUUAGGAGGAACACCAGUGGCGAAGGCGGCCUGCUGGACGAUGACUGACGUUGAGGCUCGAAAGCGUGGGGAGCAAACAGGAUUAGAUACCCGUGUA